This 2054-nucleotide unclassified non-coding RNA is filed under the name Ooceraea biroi (clonal raider ant). Its description in RNAcentral is "uncharacterized LOC105275436, transcript variant X5". Lineage: Eukaryota; Metazoa; Arthropoda; Insecta; Hymenoptera; Formicidae. The record is from RNAcentral.
AAUAUCACGUACUUUAUCGAAAACAAGUUUACAUCUUCAGUCACAUGUUGGAUACAGAGCGUUUCAUGAACAUCAGAAUUUGUCCCGUAGUGAUCUAAUUAAUUUUUUACAUCUAUUUUACAUUUCGAAUUUAUAUUUUGAAAUUUGCUGUAAUAAUGUUUUCUUAUAUGCGUUACAUAUUCGAUGAACACUUUAGGCAAUGGACAAAUAAUACUGCACUUGAAGACGAUUCAAGUGAACGAUCCUCGAUAGAUACGUACAUUGAACCACGCUUUCUGGAAACGUUGAAGAAUUCUUGCCGACAGGCAAGUUUACGGAAAACGAACCAAUCCGAUAUAUGUGAAGAAAUAAGUAGUACUUGCACAGAAAUAAAGUUCCAGUUGCUUGAAUUGAAUGAGAGGAUAGAAUUGGAUAAGCUUAGUGAAUUGACGAGAGAGUUCGAUAUUAUAGCUGCUGCAACAAUUUACUAUAACUUAGGUUAUGUUUACAGUAUAUUGAACAGAACAAUUUCCAAUCGAAACCAAUUUACACAUAUUUGGCUGAUGUUUCCAAGGAAGAAGAUCUGAGAAUAUCAUUAAGAUUGUUAUAUAGGAAUAUGAUAGGGCGUAUGGAAAAGUUGUAUUCUGCUUCAGACAAGAUGGAUGAAUGGAUAGAAACCGUACAUGAUUGUUUAGACGACCGGGCAGGAAUUAUAAACUUUCCGUAUGGAGCAUGUGACUGGUCUAAAGCAGCGAUUAUGAUAAAGAUGUGGAAAGAAGCGGCUGAAUUGCUCCUUUCUGUGAUAGAGGGAGAGGCAGCAUAUCGUGACUUAUAUUUCACUACACAGGAGAAACUUCUAGAUAUUAUAAACAAGUUGGAUUAUUAUUAUGAACACUGCCAACAAAUAGGAGAAACGUAGAGUUUACUGAGCCCCGCCAAAUGUUUGUAAAGUACAAAAUUCAUUUAAAAACUUUUUAAAUGAAUUAGCAGAAUUAUUGAUAUAUACGAACAUGGAUAGGAUUAUUGUCGUUCUGACGGUGCAUACUAUUAUUUUGAUUUUAUAGCUACUUAUCACAUUCUUUCAGACAUAAUAUAUAAUGCGGCGAUGUUGGAAAUACUGUAAAACCAUUUGAGGAAACGUGCAGAAAUAUGCGAAAAAAAGUAGUCUAGAUUAUUAUAAACUAUAUUUAAAUGCGCAUUUUAUCAAAUUAAAUGAGACAAACAGAACAAUUAGCGUGAGACCAUGAUCUAUUUUUCAGUAACGCGAUUGAAUCAAUGCUUAUAAUAGUUAUAGAAAAAUUUCUUAAAAAUCGAAAAUUCUAUUUCUCAUUUCUUUGAUAUAGAAGCAUGUGCAGUAAUAGUAUUUGGUAAUAAAACAUUUUAUAAUGUAAUAUUUAGAAUAUUAUAUUUUAUGACAUAUAGAUUUAUAGUGCAAUUGUAUAUAAUAUCUGCAAUAUUACUUAACUAUAACGAAUGAAAAUAUUCACAAACUGUUUUGCGGAAAACAGGAAUUCGUAAGAGAUUGUAGUUUUAUAGGAUUUAUUUAUCUAAAUGCAAGUAUGUAUAUAUAUAUGUUUAUGUAUUUGUACAAAUCUAUAAAAUUAUUUCUCUUUUAUUUUGAUCAUAUUUUAUAUUUUUAAAACAUUUUCUUUCAUUAUUUUACAAAUAAUUCGUUAUAUUACAUUAGUUAGUCUCUUUCUAUUUGUACGUAUAAUAUAUUUUAUGACGCAGCAUGCAAUAUAUUCCGCAAUAUAUUCAUGCAAUAGAUAAAUAUAAGUUGAAAAAGGUGUCAUGUAAAAGUCAUAUACAUAUAUAGAUACACAUUACGUCGUGAAUUGAAAAUAACUUCCGCGUGUAUUAUAAAUUAUAAUUAUAUUCGGUACGUUAUUAGUAAUGGAUGUACGUAAUAUAAUUGUGAUUAAUUUGAUAUUAUAAGCCUGUUAUACUGUAUCUGUUUCUAUCAAUUUUAUUUUUAAAAUGUAUAUUAAGAUUAAACUUAAUGGUAUAUAAUUUAAUGUAUUAUGGUCGAUAUUUAAAUUGUCGCAUCGAAUACCAAAUAUACAGGGUGAGUUUUA